RNAcentral lists this ribosomal RNA (2904 nucleotides) under Escherichia coli. RNAcentral's name for it is "bacterial LSU rRNA". It matches the Rfam family "Bacterial large subunit ribosomal RNA". Lineage: Bacteria; Pseudomonadati; Pseudomonadota; Gammaproteobacteria; Enterobacterales; Enterobacteriaceae. The record is from RNAcentral.
UUAAGCGACUAAGCGUACACGGUGGAUGCCCUGGCAGUCAGAGGCGAUGAAGGACGUGCUAAUCUGCGAUAAGCGUCGGUAAGGUGAUAUGAACCGUUAUAACCGGCGAUUUCCGAAUGGGGAAACCCAGUGUGUUUCGACACACUAUCAUUAACUGAAUCCAUAGGUUAAUGAGGCGAACCGGGGGAACUGAAACAUCUAAGUACCCCGAGGAAAAGAAAUCAACCGAGAUUCCCCCAGUAGCGGCGAGCGAACGGGGAGCAGCCCAGAGCCUGAAUCAGUGUGUGUGUUAGUGGAAGCGUCUGGAAAGGCGCGCGAUACAGGGUGACAGCCCCGUACACAAAAAUGCACAUGCUGUGAGCUCGAUGAGUAGGGCGGGACACGUGGUAUCCUGUCUGAAUAUGGGGGGACCAUCCUCCAAGGCUAAAUACUCCUGACUGACCGAUAGUGAACCAGUACCGUGAGGGAAAGGCGAAAAGAACCCCGGCGAGGGGAGUGAAAAAGAACCUGAAACCGUGUACGUACAAGCAGUGGGAGCACGCUUAGGCGUGUGACUGCGUACCUUUUGUAUAAUGGGUCAGCGACUUAUAUUCUGUAGCAAGGUUAACCGAAUAGGGGAGCCGAAGGGAAACCGAGUCUUAACUGGGCGUUAAGUUGCAGGGUAUAGACCCGAAACCCGGUGAUCUAGCCAUGGGCAGGUUGAAGGUUGGGUAACACUAACUGGAGGACCGAACCGACUAAUGUUGAAAAAUUAGCGGAUGACUUGUGGCUGGGGGUGAAAGGCCAAUCAAACCGGGAGAUAGCUGGUUCUCCCCGAAAGCUAUUUAGGUAGCGCCUCGUGAAUUCAUCUCCGGGGGUAGAGCACUGUUUCGGCAAGGGGGUCAUCCCGACUUACCAACCCGAUGCAAACUGCGAAUACCGGAGAAUGUUAUCACGGGAGACACACGGCGGGUGCUAACGUCCGUCGUGAAGAGGGAAACAACCCAGACCGCCAGCUAAGGUCCCAAAGUCAUGGUUAAGUGGGAAACGAUGUGGGAAGGCCCAGACAGCCAGGAUGUUGGCUUAGAAGCAGCCAUCAUUUAAAGAAAGCGUAAUAGCUCACUGGUCGAGUCGGCCUGCGCGGAAGAUGUAACGGGGCUAAACCAUGCACCGAAGCUGCGGCAGCGACGCUUAUGCGUUGUUGGGUAGGGGAGCGUUCUGUAAGCCUGUGAAGGUGUGCUGUGAGGCAUGCUGGAGGUAUCAGAAGUGCGAAUGCUGACAUAAGUAACGAUAAAGCGGGUGAAAAGCCCGCUCGCCGGAAGACCAAGGGUUCCUGUCCAACGUUAAUCGGGGCAGGGUGAGUCGACCCCUAAGGCGAGGCCGAAAGGCGUAGUCGAUGGGAAACAGGUUAAUAUUCCUGUACUUGGUGUUACUGCGAAGGGGGGACGGAGAAGGCUAUGUUGGCCGGGCGACGGUUGUCCCGGUUUAAGCGUGUAGGCUGGUUUUCCAGGCAAAUCCGGAAAAUCAAGGCUGAGGCGUGAUGACGAGGCACUACGGUGCUGAAGCAACAAAUGCCCUGCUUCCAGGAAAAGCCUCUAAGCAUCAGGUAACAUCAAAUCGUACCCCAAACCGACACAGGUGGUCAGGUAGAGAAUACCAAGGCGCUUGAGAGAACUCGGGUGAAGGAACUAGGCAAAAUGGUGCCGUAACUUCGGGAGAAGGCACGCUGAUAUGUAGGUGAGGUCCCUCGCGGAUGGAGCUGAAAUCAGUCGAAGAUACCAGCUGGCUGCAACUGUUUAUUAAAAACACAGCACUGUGCAAACACGAAAGUGGACGUAUACGGUGUGACGCCUGCCCGGUGCCGGAAGGUUAAUUGAUGGGGUUAGCGGUAACGCGAAGCUCUUGAUCGAAGCCCCGGUAAACGGCGGCCGUAACUAUAACGGUCCUAAGGUAGCGAAAUUCCUUGUCGGGUAAGUUCCGACCUGCACGAAUGGCGUAAUGAUGGCCAGGCUGUCUCCACCCGAGACUCAGUGAAAUUGAACUCGCUGUGAAGAUGCAGUGUACCCGCGGCAAGACGGAAAGACCCCGUGAACCUUUACUAUAGCUUGACACUGAACAUUGAGCCUUGAUGUGUAGGAUAGGUGGGAGGCUUAGAAGUGUGGACGCCAGUCUGCAUGGAGCCGACCUUGAAAUACCACCCUUUAAUGUUUGAUGUUCUAACGUUGACCCGUAAUCCGGGUUGCGGACAGUGUCUGGUGGGUAGUUUGACUGGGGCGGUCUCCUCCUAAAGAGUAACGGAGGAGCACGAAGGUUGGCUAAUCCUGGUCGGACAUCAGGAGGUUAGUGCAAUGGCAUAAGCCAGCUUGACUGCGAGCGUGACGGCGCGAGCAGGUGCGAAAGCAGGUCAUAGUGAUCCGGUGGUUCUGAAUGGAAGGGCCAUCGCUCAACGGAUAAAAGGUACUCCGGGGAUAACAGGCUGAUACCGCCCAAGAGUUCAUAUCGACGGCGGUGUUUGGCACCUCGAUGUCGGCUCAUCACAUCCUGGGGCUGAAGUAGGUCCCAAGGGUAUGGCUGUUCGCCAUUUAAAGUGGUACGCGAGCUGGGUUUAGAACGUCGUGAGACAGUUCGGUCCCUAUCUGCCGUGGGCGCUGGAGAACUGAGGGGGGCUGCUCCUAGUACGAGAGGACCGGAGUGGACGCAUCACUGGUGUUCGGGUUGUCAUGCCAAUGGCACUGCCCGGUAGCUAAAUGCGGAAGAGAUAAGUGCUGAAAGCAUCUAAGCACGAAACUUGCCCCGAGAUGAGUUCUCCCUGACUCCUUGAGAGUCCUGAAGGAACGUUGAAGACGACGACGUUGAUAGGCCGGGUGUGUAAGCGCAGCGAUGCGUUGAGCUAACCGGUACUAAUGAACCGUGAGGCUUAACCUU